This 760-nucleotide ribosomal RNA is filed under the name Menkea sphaerocarpa. RNAcentral describes it as "eukaryotic LSU rRNA". The stretch from base 433 to 588 matches the Rfam family "5.8S ribosomal RNA". Lineage: Eukaryota; Viridiplantae; Streptophyta; Magnoliopsida; Brassicales; Brassicaceae. The record is from RNAcentral.
UCGCUCCUACCGAUUGAAUGAUCCGGUGAAGUGUUCGGAUCGCGGCGACGUGAGUGGUUCGCCGCCUGCGACGUCGCGAGAAGUCCACUAAACCUUAUCAUUUAGAGGAAGGAGAAGUCGUAACAAGGUUUCCGUAGGUGAACCUGCGGAAGGAUCAUUGUCGAAACCUGUCCAAAACAGAACGACCAGCGAACUAACGAUCACCACUCGCGGUGGGCUGGUUUCUUAAUUGAUCCAAUGCCCACCCGAUCCGUGGUUUCGUGCAUUCUCCCGGCCAGGGUCAUUGUCUUGGUCUGGUGUUGCACGUUGCUUCCGGAUUUCACAAAACCACGGCACGAAAAGUGUCAAGGAAAAUACAACUGAACGGCUGGUAUUUGCCUCCCCGGAGACGGAGUGUGCGCGGAUGCUUAGCUGUGAUCUAAAGUCUAAAACGACUCUCGGCAACGGAUAUCUCGGCUCUCGCAUCGAUGAAGAACGUAGCGAAAUGCGAUACUUGGUGUGAAUUGCAGAAUCCCGUGAACCAUCGAGUCUUUGAACGCAAGUUGCGCCCCAAGCCUUUUGGCUGAGGGCACGUCUGCCUGGGUGUCACAAAUCGUCGUCCCCCCUCAUCAUUUGAGAAGUAGGGACGGAAGUUGGUCUCCCGUGUGUUACCGCACGCGGUUGGCUAAAAUCUGAGCAAAGGACGCCGGGAGCGUUCCGACAUGCGGUGGUGAACAUGAUCCACUUUCAUAUAUUCGGUUGCUCUUGUCCGGAAGCUCUA